CUCACGUACGCUGUCCCGAGAA
This 22-nucleotide microRNA is filed under the name Malus domestica (apple). RNAcentral describes it as "mdm-miR10984b-3p". The record is from miRBase by way of RNAcentral. Lineage: Eukaryota; Viridiplantae; Streptophyta; Magnoliopsida; Rosales; Rosaceae.